Molecule: RNA transcript, 2417 nt
Organism: Panicum hallii
Lineage: Eukaryota; Viridiplantae; Streptophyta; Magnoliopsida; Poales; Poaceae
Gene name: UDP-N-acetylglucosamine--N-acetylmuramyl-(pentapeptide) pyrophosphoryl-undecaprenol N-acetylglucosamine transferase
Exons: 6
Source: RefSeq, a predicted model, not a curated record
CAGCAGCGGUCUGACAAUGCCAUCCUCCCCGAUCUGCCUGUUCCUCCGGCGCCCGUAGAGCGAACAAAAAUGGCGGACACCGCCGGCCUGCGCGCCUCGCCCGCUCGCUCCACCAUCCGCUUUAUCAGCCUCCGCGACACCCAGACCCCAAACCUCCCCUUCCGCACACGCGCCGCGGUGCCCACCCGCGCGCGCCUCCGCUGCCACCUCUCCCACUCCAUUGACUCCACUCCAACCCCGAGGUCCACCACCUCCGACCCCGACCCCGACCCGGACCCCGAUCCCGAAGAUUCCCUGCGCUUCGCCUUCGCGUGCGGCGGCGCUGGCGCGGGCGGCCGUGUCUACUCCGCCAUCGCGCUCGCCGACGAGCUCCACGCCUCGCUGCCGUCCUCCCGCUCCCUCAUCCUCGGCGCGCCCGCCCCGUCCCUCGAAUCCUCCGCCGCCGCAGCGGCAUCCUACCCGUUCGCGCCCGUGCCGCCGCGCUGCCUCCCGCGCGGGAUCCUCGCCGCGGCACUGCACCUACGCCGCUUCCGCCCGCACGUCCUUGUCGCCACGGGGGGCGCACCCGCGCUGCCAGCCUGCCUGGGCGCGCUGCUCCUCGGCCUCCCCUUCGUGAUCCAGGACCAGGACGCAUCCCCCGCGCCCGCCACCCGCCUCCUUGCCCCCUUUGCCCUCCGCGUCUUCCUCGCCUUCAACGCCCCCGUGCGCCUCCUCCCCAAGCGCAAGUGCGCCGUCUACGGGAACCCCGUCCGCAUGUCCAUCCUCAAGUGCCGGGUGUCCAAGGCCGAGGCGUUGUCGCGCUUCUUCCCGAGGGCAGGGUGGUUGAGUGAACAGGAGGCACAGGUCCUGCUCGUGCUUGGAGGAGCGGAGGGGUCGCCCGAGAUCAAUGUCGCCGUGCUCAAUGUCUACUAUGAGAUGCUCAGGAAGAGGAAGGAUCGGUACAUAAUAUGGCAGACGGGGACGGAGACUUUCUGCGAGAUGGAGAGUCUCGUCAGGGGCCAUCGCCGGCUUUUUCUUACUCCAUUCUUGCAUGAACUGGAAAUGGCAUAUGCUGCUUCUGAUGUUGUAAUUUCUCGAGCUGGUGCAAUGACAUGCACUGAGAUAUUGGCCACUGGGAAACCAUCAAUUCUGGUUGUGUACCUUUUAUCUGGAAAAGGAGGUGGUCUUAUAAACCGUUGCAAUGGUCCAGAGUGCAAACUAUACCCUUGCCAACAAUUCUGGAUCACCACCAAACGAGAAAUGCAUAUAUCAUGGCUGAUAUCAUGGGAGCAAAGGUCAUCACCGAAGAUGAACUUGAUUCUAGCAGUCUGACAUCUGCAAUUGAUGAAAUUUUUGGUGAUGAGAAAUUGAUGGCCGACAUGUCUCAGAAGGCACUAACUGCAGCCCGACCAAAUGCUUCGGCUGAUAUAAUUCGUCACAUCUGUUCCCUGAUUGGUGCACCAUACCCAACAUGAAACUUAUUUAGACACUACAAUUCAUGCCAUGACUACAUUCUGUAUUGUUGGUUGAGACACAGCAGAAUGGCAUCUUGUUCUUGAUGUGGAAAUGAAGAUGUGAUACAUUUCAUAAUUCACUUGAAUGAUGACAAAGUGAUUUGGGCCCAAAAAGAUCGGGAAAUAGUGCCUCAGCUGCUGGAUUUCCUUGCAAAUAUCUUGGAGUGCCACUCUCCUUACGCAAGCUUACAAGGUCCCAAAUACAACCAAUUAUUGACAGAAUUGCAUGUGGUUGGAGUGCAAAUUCUUCAUGUGGUUGGUUGCACGCAACAGGUGUUGGACAGCCGAUGGACUUAACAGAAGGGGUCUCCCACAUCCGGAACGCUGCCCUCUUUGCGACCAAAUGGAUGAAACAAUUUAUCACUUGCUCGUUUCUUGCGUCUUCACCCGGCAAGUUUGGUUCAGGUUGCUACAAAGUGUGGGCUUGCAGAUUCUAGCCCCGCAACCUGACGAAACUUCCUUUGAUGAUUGGUGGGAAAAGGUGAGUGAGAGAGUAUCAGGACAGGUCAGAAAAGGGCUAAAUUCUGUCAUCAUUCUAGGGGCAUGGUCAGUUUGGAACCAUCACAACCGUUGUGUAUUCGAUGGAGGUCCACCUUACUUGAAUGGAGUUUCUAAUGUGAUCAGAGAGGAGCUGCGUUUAUGGAAUUUAGCCGGGGCUCGAGGAAUUUCUUAUCUCCUCGUCCUAGUGCCCUCACAAGAGCAGUUGGAGUCCUUGGUCUAGUUUUAGGUCUUGGUGCUUUAGAAAAAGGCUUAUAUUUCUGAUAGUAUAGGGGAUUUUUGUACAGGUUUACCCAAAACAAAAACCUGUGCUGUACUUUUGGGUUUCUUUACACCUUUUCUCUUCUUAAUAUAUUGAUACGCAGCUCUACUGCGUGUUUGAGAAAAAAAGAGUAUAAAUAUGGAAAGGUGGUAUUUUUUGAAGUA